UGGUGCUAGAGGAGCUGAGAGUUCUAUGU
Molecule: non-coding RNA, 29 nt
Filed under: Rattus norvegicus (Norway rat)
Lineage: Eukaryota; Metazoa; Chordata; Mammalia; Rodentia; Muridae
Source: RNAcentral